CUCCUCUCCCUUUUUCUCUACGAUUCUCCAGUACGACGAUGGCAGAGGAGGUGAAGCAUGCAGCGGAGAAUAAGUGAAAGAUGAGCACCCUCUUCCACCCACCCGGCCUGCGUGGGAGGUCAACAACUGACAGGUCAAAAGUCCCACGCGACAAAAACGCAAAUAACUCGUUUUAUAGCCGUGGAGUCGGCUGAGGUCCCGCGGGGGUCGCGCGGUGAGCCGGCGUCCGUGACCAGGAAUACUCGUUUCCGUCACCGAGCGGAAGGGACACGCGGUCGUCGCAAAGUCAACCCGACGAAGGAUUGCUGCGUCAGAGAAAUAGAGCAGCAAGCAACUCGUGUUCAGAAUGUCUUAUAGUCACCUACUGCUCUUAUUUUUAUUGAUUUAUUCACACUUU
This is a long non-coding RNA of Scylla paramamosain (green mud crab), 397 nucleotides long. RefSeq lists it as uncharacterized. NCBI's taxonomy places the organism in Eukaryota, Metazoa, Arthropoda, Malacostraca, Decapoda, Portunidae. The transcript is spliced from 2 exons. The record is from RefSeq and is a predicted model, not a curated record.